CUACUCUUAACUUCUCCCCUGGCCCUACAUAUUCUGGCCCACUCCUGUCCUGCUCUUAGUUCUACUUCUUGCUCCUACUCUGGACCCUGCUCUUGGCUCUACUCUUAGUUCUACUCCUGGCUCUACUCUUAGUUCUACUCUUGGCCCUACUCUUAGUUCUACUCCUGGCCCUACUCUUAGUUCUACUCCUGACUCCUUAACUCCUUCAGUCUACUCUUGGCUCUUAGUUCUACUCCUGACGUCUGACUCUUUGGAGCCUACUCUUGGCUCUUAGUUCUACUCCUGGCCCUACUCUUAGUUCUACUACCGGCCCUACUCCUAGUUCUACUCCUGGCCCUACUCUUGGCUCUUUAGUUCUACUCUGGUUCUACCCUUAUUUCUACACCUGGCUCUAUGUAGUCCUGGCCCCACUCCUGGUCCUGCUCUUAGUUCUACUCUUGGCCCUAUUCCUGCCCUACUCUUGGCUCUACUCUUAGUUCUACUCUUGGCUCUACUCUUAGUUCUACUCUUGACUCUACUCUUAGUUCUACUCUUGGCCCUACUCUUGGUUCUACUCCUACUUCUACCCCUGGCCAUACGUAGUCCUGGCCCCACUCCUGCGUUUCCUGCUCUUUAGUGUCUUAUCUUCUUGGCCUACUCCGUGGCCCUGCUCUGGCUCUACUCUUUAGUUUCUGACUCCUGACCUCUACUCUUAGUUCUACUCCUGGCCCUACUCUUAGCUUCUACUUCUGCCCUACUCUUAGUUCUACUUCCUGGCUCACUCCUAGUUCUACUCUUGGGUUCUAUCUAGUCCUACUCUUGGCUCUUAGUUCUACUCUUGGCUCUACUCUUAGUUCUGCUCUUGGCCCUACUCUUGGUUCUACUCCUACUUCUACCCCUGGCCCUACAUAGUUCUGGCCCCCGCAUCUCCUGGGCUGUCCUUGCCUGUCUUAGUUCUACCUC
Molecule: long non-coding RNA, 942 nt
Filed under: Coturnix japonica (Japanese quail)
Lineage: Eukaryota; Metazoa; Chordata; Aves; Galliformes; Phasianidae
Description: lncRNA (ENSCJPG00005002224.1)
Source: RNAcentral